CAUCCUCCAAGGCUAAAUACUCCUGACUGACCGAUAGUGAACCAGUACCGUGAGGGAAAGGCGAAAAGAACCCCGGCGAGGGGAGUGAAAAAGAACCUGAAACCGUGUACGUACAAGCAGUGGGAGCCCCACCACCAAAGCAUUCUCUGGUGUUGAAGGCCCUGCAAAGCAGCAUCGCGGUGGCGGAGCGUCGUUUGCGACGCCCAACACACAAAACAAGCGGUGAGUGCUUUGGGGUGGGGUGACUGCGUACCUUUUGUAUAAUGGGUCAGCGACUUAUAUUCUGUAGCAAGGUUAACCGAAUAGGGGAGCCGGAGGGAAACCGAGCCUUAAUUGGGCGUUAAGUUGCAGGGUAUAGACCCGAAACCCGGUGAUCUAGCCAUGGGCAGGUUGAAGGUUGGGUAACACUAACUGGAGGACCGAACCGACUAAUGUUGAAAAAUUAGCGGAUGACC
This 455-nucleotide ribosomal RNA is filed under the name Salmonella enterica subsp. enterica serovar Paratyphi B. Its description in RNAcentral is "bacterial LSU rRNA". It matches the Rfam family "Bacterial large subunit ribosomal RNA", at positions 454 to 809 of the family's 2925-position model. The record is from RNAcentral. Lineage: Bacteria; Pseudomonadati; Pseudomonadota; Gammaproteobacteria; Enterobacterales; Enterobacteriaceae.